This 253-nucleotide ribosomal RNA is filed under the name uncultured bacterium. RNAcentral describes it as "partial 16S ribosomal RNA". It matches the Rfam family "Bacterial small subunit ribosomal RNA", at positions 524 to 776 of the family's 1533-position model. The record is from RNAcentral.
UACGUAGGGGGCAAGCGUUGUCCGGAAUCAUUGGGCGUAAAGCGCGUGUAGGCGGUCCGGUAAGUCAGCUGUGAAAGUCAAGGGCUCAACCCUGGAAUGCCGGUGGAAACUGUCGGGCUGGAGUCCGGAAGAGGCGAGUGGAAUUCCUGGUGUAGCGGUGAAAUGCGCAGAUAUCAGGAGGAACACCAAUGGCGAAGGCAGCUCGCUGGGACGGUACUGACGCUGAGACGCGAAAGCGUGGGGAGCAAACAGG